UGGAGUGGUUCUGACCAGACUACAGAGAAUGCACAAGGCUAUGCUCCCAGCCUGUCAGAAUGACAACCUUGCAGGCUGCAACCCUUUAAGAGAAACAAAGCUCUCCUCUCCACAUUUAUGAGCCUGUCAUCCUCAUUCUUCAGUUGCCACACUAAGGAAAGAGCCCUGGAGAUGAAGGAGAGUUGUUUGAAAAAGGAAGAGGAAAAAGAAAAAUUAAAAAAAGAAAAAAUGAAGAAGAAGGGGAAGAUAAGGAGAAACAGAAGAAAAAGAAGAAAUAAUAUAUGGCCUGCAAAACCUAAAAUACUUUCAGAAAAUAUCUGUCUAUCUCUGCUAUAGAAGACUGGCAAGGGACAUUUAACAUACAGAUAAUUGGCUUCCCCAAUGAAGAACAUGAAAGUGAUGGAAAAAACAAGCAUUUAAAACUAUAGUCCAAGAAAAUUUUCAUGAAAUAAAAGACUUGUAAAUGCAAGCUGACACCUAGUGAAAGGGUCCAUUGUGUACCUACAAAAUUUGAUGCGGUGUGGUCCACGUGGAGAGAAAGUCUAGUAAACAUUUUGAAAUGAAUAUGUGUGUGUGUGUAAAGGGAGCUGUUGUCCUAUUUUUAUUAGUAACAGCUCCUUCUUUUACAUUCUCAAGUGUCUUACUUUGAACAAUAAAUUAUAAGGUUAUCCUACUAGAAAGAGAGUAGCUUUAGCCUUUCAAUACCAACAUUGCAUAGCAGAAGUCACAUAGAAUUAUGUUAAAUAUGUCAAAGGAAAGAAAAUAUAACCAUGG
RNAcentral lists this long non-coding RNA (774 nucleotides) under Homo sapiens (human). RNAcentral describes it as "HSALNT0122359". Lineage: Eukaryota; Metazoa; Chordata; Mammalia; Primates; Hominidae. The record is from RNAcentral.